This 253-nucleotide ribosomal RNA is filed under the name uncultured bacterium. RNAcentral describes it as "partial 16S ribosomal RNA". It matches the Rfam family "Bacterial small subunit ribosomal RNA", at positions 524 to 776 of the family's 1533-position model. The record is from RNAcentral.
UACGAAGGGGGCUAGCGUUGUUCGGAUUUACUGGGCGUAAAGCGCACGUAGGCGGAUUGUUAAGUGAGAGGUGAAAUCCCAGAGCUCAACUCUGGAACUGCCUUUCAUACUGGCAAUCUAGAGUCCGGAAGAGGUAAGUGGAACUCCUAGUGUAGAGGUGGAAUUCGUAGAUAUUAGGAAGAACACCAGUGGCGAAGGCGGCUUACUGGUCCGGUACUGACGCUGAGGUGCGAAAGCGUGGGGAGCAAACAGG